CGUGUAGGCGGUUCGGUUAAGUCUGAUGUGAAAGCCCGAGGCUCAGCUUCGGAAGUGCAUCGGAAACUAGCCGGCUGGAGCGCGAUAGAGGAGGGUGGAAUUCCUGGUGUAGCGGUGAAAUGCGUAGAUAUCAGGAGGAACACCGGCGGCGAAGGCGGCCCUCUGGAUCGUUGCUGACGCUGAGACGCGAAAGCGUGGGGACGCAAACAGGAUUAGAUACCCUGGUAGUCCACGCUGUAAACUAUGGGUACUAGGUGUUCGGGGUAUUGACCCCCUGAGUGCCGCAGUUAACGCAUUAAGUACCCCGCCUGGGGACUACGGCCGCAAGGUUAAA
This 334-nucleotide ribosomal RNA is filed under the name uncultured bacterium. Its description in RNAcentral is "bacterial SSU rRNA". It matches the Rfam family "Bacterial small subunit ribosomal RNA", at positions 568 to 898 of the family's 1533-position model. The record is from RNAcentral.